GUAGCAAGCUAAGUGCGCUUGAUUGUGGAAAAACUCCACAGUUAAGCACGCUUCAGCCAGAGGCGUCUUGGGAUGGGUGACCACCUGGGAAGUCCUGGUUACCAGGUGCA
Non-coding RNA from Picea glauca (white spruce), 110 nucleotides. The record is from Rfam. Lineage: Eukaryota; Viridiplantae; Streptophyta; Pinopsida; Pinales; Pinaceae.